GAUGAACGCUGGCGGCGUGCCUCAAACAUGCAAGUCGAGCGGGGCUAUGUAAUAUCGCAAGGUAGAACAUAGCCUAGCGGCGAACGGGUGAGUAACACGUGGGUAACCCUGCCUGGAAGACAGGGAUAACGAUUCGAAAGGGUCGCUAAUACCUGAUAAUAUCCUUUCAUCGCAUGGUGAUAGGAAGAAAGGGGAAACCCGCUUUCAGAUGGGCCCGCGUCCCAUCAGCUAGUUGGUAAGGUAAAGGCUUACCAAGGCGACGACGGGUAGCCGGUCUGAGAGGAUGUACGGCCACACUGGGACUGAGAUACGGCCCAGACUCCUACGGGAGGCAGCAGUUGGGAAUCUUAGGCAAUGGACGAAAGUCUGACCUAGCGACGCCGCGUGAGGGAAGAAGGCCUUCGGGUUGUAAACCUCUGUCAGUGGGGAAGAAGGAAGUGACGGUACCCAAGAGGAAGCCCCUGCUAACUACGUGCCAGCAGCCGCGGUAAGAUAGCGUACU
This 502-nucleotide ribosomal RNA is filed under the name uncultured bacterium. Its description in RNAcentral is "bacterial SSU rRNA". It matches the Rfam family "Bacterial small subunit ribosomal RNA", at positions 28 to 531 of the family's 1533-position model. The record is from RNAcentral.